Molecule: long non-coding RNA, 482 nt
Organism: Neoarius graeffei (lesser salmon catfish)
Lineage: Eukaryota; Metazoa; Chordata; Actinopteri; Siluriformes; Ariidae
Exons: 2
Source: RefSeq, a predicted model, not a curated record
AGUUUAGAGGUUGACUGAACAGAAGGUGUGUUCUGAUUCUUCACCACUGCUGUUCUGACACACUUUUCAGUGUUUUUACUUUCUAAAAGUUUGCGAAAAUACCAGAAUUUUAAAUGAUUUUCUUGGGAUCGCCAUGCUUCAUCAUGAAGUUUAUGAUCUUCAACACAGCAUAUAAUCUCAGGUGGUGUGACAGCGCCUUUUCCCAUCACACUGCUACACACUCCGCUGGGAACCGUGGCUGAAAUGAACACAAGAAAUUUCAGUCAUUGUUUCUAGUCGUGGGUGCAGCAGACAUUCGGCUUCAACAGCAAUUUCCCUUUGCGGAAAUAACGCCACACCAUCAUCAUGUCUUGUUUGUGAAAGGAUUAAAAGGCACCAUGUGUUGAUUAUGUAUUAUUGUUAUUGUUAUUAUGAUUAUUGUUAAAGUAUUAUUUUUAUUAUUCAAUUACAGCUACAUAUAUUGAAUAAAUUUUAAAAGCGAA